AUCCAGCUGACCAGUCUACAAUAAGACGAAACACGCAUCCUAGAU
This 45-nucleotide non-coding RNA is filed under the name Schistosoma haematobium. The record is from RNAcentral. Lineage: Eukaryota; Metazoa; Platyhelminthes; Trematoda; Strigeidida; Schistosomatidae.